CUAAAUGGAUUAGUGGGGUCUGCUUUGCCGAUCCUUGACGUGAUAAGAUGUUUCUACGUCUUGGGUUUGACACCGCACCUGCUUCUAACCGUCUCAUCGACAAUGAUGGCGUUCCGGUCACCACUGUUUCAUCGGUGGGAGGCUUGACCCACCAAAAAAACCUUGACCUCAAAUCGGGUGAGACUACCCGCUGAACUUAA
Molecule: unclassified non-coding RNA, 200 nt
Filed under: soil metagenome
Description: partial contains internal transcribed spacer 2 and large subunit ribosomal RNA
Source: RNAcentral